RNAcentral lists this small RNA (537 nucleotides) under Pongo abelii (Sumatran orangutan). RNAcentral's name for it is "retained intron". The record is from RNAcentral. Lineage: Eukaryota; Metazoa; Chordata; Mammalia; Primates; Hominidae.
GGAGGAGAGUUUGUCAGGCUGCAUGUAAUGCCUGUGUUCUUUUGACAGAAAGAGAGUUUGAUCCUGACAUCCACUGUGGGGUUAUUGAUCUCGACACCAAGAAGCCCUGCACCCGGUCUCUGACAUGCAAGACACAUUCCUUAACCCAGCGCAGGGCUGUCCAGGGUAGAAGAAAACGAUUUGAUGUGUUAUUAGCCGAGCACAAAAACAAAACCAGGGAAAAGGAAUUGAUUCGCCAUCCGGACUCUCAGCAACCACCGCAGCCUCUCAGGGACCCGCAUCCCGCCCCUCCUAGAACGUCACAGGAGCCGCACCAAAAUCCUCAUGGAGUGAUUCCUUCCGAAUCAAAGCCUUUUGUAGCUAGUAAACCUAAACCUCACACCCCCAGUCUUCCAAGGUAAGCCAAACCCUCCAACUCUUUCUCCCACCUUCAGAGAUGAGACUUGCAGAUACUGUAAAAUCUCAGUAUGGUCAUGAUGUUGAGAAACAUAUCUCAGGCUCACUGUGGAGAUAGUUUUUUAAGGGAGUUUUACUAUG